AAGCGUAGAAAUAAUUUCGUGAGCGACUACAUGCCAAACGAUCUAUCUUUUCUAUUUUAAUUUUCUCUAUUCUGCCACAAUAAUCUCCCGGCGCUGCUUAUACAUUACUUUGAGAGAAGAUCCGGGCACGCAACUCCGGAGAGUGACGGUCUAGUUCUAAGAUAAAAAUUUCAACAUUUUUUAUUAAAUGCAUUUACAAUAUGACCCUUGAUCGUUAAUUUAAUUAAAAAUUUGGAGAAUUACAACAUUUGUCAUAAUAUGACGUAAAAGAUAAGAAUACAAUAUAAAAAUAUAAAACAUCUAGAUAUAGACUAUCAACGAAUCAAUCGUGAAAAUUUUCCAUCGGCAAUUGGCGACUAAAUUUGGUACGCGCUGUGUCCACGUCUGCAUAUCAACAGACGCACCGCGAUGCAAAUUUGCAACUCGUUGCGCAACCACGUUGAACGGUCGUAAAAAUACAGUCAGACUAUAUCGAUCGAUGUGUAAUCGAUGAAUCUAAUAAUGGCCGGGCGCGAUUAUUCAAGAUCGACGCCGGUGCACGCGCAAACCGAUCGCGAAAUCAACGCCGGCUGGGAAAGAUAUUUUCCCCUGGCUGGGUUUGGUUGAAGUUGGUUGGUGAACUGUUCGCGGUGGUAGGCGGCGAGCGUGGGUCUAUCCGCCGCGAUUUAAAUAUUUAACUCUGCUUAAACGUCAGCGAGCCAGCGCAACGCUGGCAUUACUCGCGUGAGCAAUAAUUCCCGUCCGCGAGUAAACUCGCUUGGGAAAAUCGAGCGACCGCGUGAACCAUCCUCCCAUCUACUUGUAACUGGCUGGCGGGAACGCGCUGGGAAAAUUUCAUUUUGUAUAUUUGUUGCAAAUAAAGUAACAAAGGAGAAAACAAAGAGAAGAGAAAAUGGAGAAAAUGUUCAUUAUUUAGAUUUAUGUAUAUGACCCGGCUUUUUGAUAUUGAGAACAGAAAAUGAAUAUAAAAUAUUCACUCUGUCGAUGAUCGUGCACUACCUGGAUUUGAUGAAAUUGAUGAUGCACCACAUGUGACUUAGAAUGAAAUCGUUAUCAAUUAGCAGUUAAGAAACUAAAAAAAUGUAACCAUGUGAAAGUAGGUUCCAAUAUACAUGCAUAGACUGGACGCACACAUCUAGGCAAGAAUUUGAAAUCAUUUUUCCAAUCGUACAUCUAUCAUUAAUAAUAUUCUUUAAUUUAAUGAAAUCGGUUAUAUGUAUUUAGAACAACAAAGUCGGUUACAUUAA
Long non-coding RNA from Bombus pyrosoma, 1247 nucleotides. RefSeq lists it as uncharacterized. The transcript has 3 exons. NCBI's taxonomy places the organism in Eukaryota, Metazoa, Arthropoda, Insecta, Hymenoptera, Apidae. The record is from RefSeq and is a predicted model, not a curated record.